Molecule: ribosomal RNA, 1235 nt
Filed under: metagenome
Description: bacterial LSU rRNA
Rfam family: Bacterial large subunit ribosomal RNA
Source: RNAcentral
UGAAUACGAGAUGCUACGGCAUUGAAGCAGUCUAUGUCAGACUUCCAAGAAAAGCUCGCAAUGUCAUAAACAAUAAAUGCCUGUACCAUAACCGACACAGGUGGGUAGGUAGAGUAUACUAAGGGGCGCGAGAUAACUCUCUCUAAGGAACUCGGCAAAAUAACUCCGUAACUUCGGGAGAAGGAGUGCCUUAUUUUAUAAGGUUGCAAUAACAAGAUCCAAGCAACUGUUUACCAAAAACACAGGUCUCCGCUAAGUCGUAAGACGAUGUAUGGGGGCUGACGCCUGCCCAGUGCCAGAAGGUUAAAGAAGUUGGUUAGUUUCGACGAAGCUGAUGACUGAAGCCCUGGUGAACGGCGGCCGUAACUAUAACGGUCCUAAGGUAGCGAAAUUCCUUGUCGGGUAAGUUCCGACCCGCACGAAAGGCGUAAUGAUUUGGAUACUGUCUCGGAGAGGGGCUCGGUGAAAUAGACUUGUCUGUGAAGAUGCGGACUACCUGCACCUGGACAGAAAGACCCUAUGAAGCUUUACUGUAACUUGAGAUUGAAAUUGGACUUUAUUUGCGCAGUAUAGGUGGGAGACAUUGAUAGUAUUCUUGCGGGAAUAUUGGAGUCAUCAGUGAGAUACCACUCUUGUAUGUUAGAUUUCUAACUUUGUAUCAUUAUCUGGUCAAAGAACAGUUUCAGGCGGGCAGUUUGACUGGGGCGGUCGCCUCCUAAAGGGUAACGGAGGCGCACAAAGGUUUCCUCUGAACGUGUAGAAAUCGUAUCUAGAGUGUAAAGGCAUAAGGAAGCUUGACUGUGAGACCUACAAGUCGAGCAGGGACGAAAGUCGGUCUUAGUGAUCUGACGGUGCUGAGUGGAAAGGCCGUCACUCAACGGAUAAAAGUUACUCUAAGGAUAACAGGCUGAUCUCCCCCAAGAGUUCACAUCGACGGGGAGGUUUGGCACCUCGAUGUCGGCUCAUCGCAUCCUGGGGCGGUAGUACGUCCCAAGGGUUGGGCUGUUCGCCCAUGAAAGCGGUACGCGAGCUGGGUUCAGAACGUCGUGAGACAGUUCGGUCCAUAUCCGGUGUAGGCGUUAGAAUAUUGAGAGGAGCCUUCUUUAGUACGAGAGGACCGAGAAGGACAUACCUCUGGUGUACCAGUUAUCGUGCCAACGGUAAACGCUGGGUAGCUAUGUAUGGAGUGGAUAACCGCUGAAAGCAUCUAAGUGGGAAGCCCACCUCAAGAUAAG